GGAUCAAUCUAUCGGUCGUGCUAUUGUACGCACUGAUUUUAUUGAUUCCUCCCUUCUGAUGAACUAUGAUGUCAUUAAUUUGGUGUCAUAGGGAAUCAGGACUGUUACUUUGAAAAAUUAGAGUGUUUAAAGCAGGCUCACGCUUGAAUACAUUAGCAUGGAAUAACGAAAUAGGACGUUUGAUUCUAUUUUGUUGGUUUCUAGGAUCGACGUAAUGAUU
RNAcentral lists this ribosomal RNA (220 nucleotides) under uncultured fungus. RNAcentral describes it as "partial 18S ribosomal RNA". The stretch from base 38 to 220 matches the Rfam family "Eukaryotic small subunit ribosomal RNA", at positions 685 to 870 of the family's 1831-position model. The record is from RNAcentral. Lineage: Eukaryota; Fungi.